AUAUGAAAGGUGCAAGCGUUGUUCGGAUUUACUGGGCGUAAAGAGAGUGUAGGUGGUUUAUUAAGUCGGAUGUGAAAUCCCGGGGCUCAACCUCGGAACUGCAUUCGAUACUGAUAGGCUAGAGUUUGGGAGGGGUAAGCGGAAUUCCGUGUGUAGCAGUGAAAUGCGUAGAUAUACGGAGGAACACCUGAGGCGAAGGCGGCUUACUGGACCAAUACUGACACUGAGACUCGAAAGCGUGGGUAGCAAACAGGAUUAGAAACCCGGGUAGUCC
This 274-nucleotide ribosomal RNA is filed under the name uncultured bacterium. Its description in RNAcentral is "partial 16S ribosomal RNA". It matches the Rfam family "Bacterial small subunit ribosomal RNA", at positions 523 to 796 of the family's 1533-position model. The record is from RNAcentral.